UCGAAGCCUAGAAAGCCCGACCGCGAAUGUGUUUUCAACCGGGUAGCGCCUUGUGGUCCUCGGGCCACUUGUCGUUACCUUGCUCGGAUGUCAAGGAGACUAAGUGCUCUUUGCUUUUCGAAACUAACGAACCCCGGCGCGGACAGCGCCAAGGCAUCGAAAUGAGAAAUGCUUGUCCGCUGCCCCGUUGAUCGGGUUGCACGGACUUGUCCAUUCAUAAAAGAACAUAACGACUCUCGGCAACGGAUAUCUCGGCUCUCGCAUCGAUGAAGAACGUAGCAAAAUGCGAUACUUGGUGUGAAUUGCAGAAUCCCGUGAAUCAUCGAGUCUUUGAACGCAAGUUGCGCCCAAAGCCUAUAGGCUGAGGGCACGUCUGCCUGGGCGUCAUGCACUGCGAUGCCCCCAUGCAAGCAUGCGGGGCGAAUCUUGGCCUCCCGUUAGCCAGCUCGCGGAUGGCUUAAAAAGGAGCCUCGAGACGGGAACACGUUGCGACUAGUGGUGGUUAAAAGGCUUAGGCUAUAGAACUUAGCGCGUCGCUGCGUUUUCCGUCCCUUGCUCGAAAAGACCCUGCCGGCGUGCAUCUUUGCUGCCAGCAUC
RNAcentral lists this unclassified non-coding RNA (597 nucleotides) under Sedum brissemoretii. Its description in RNAcentral is "sequence contains ITS1, 5.8S rRNA gene and ITS2". The stretch from base 232 to 387 matches the Rfam family "5.8S ribosomal RNA". Lineage: Eukaryota; Viridiplantae; Streptophyta; Magnoliopsida; Saxifragales; Crassulaceae. The record is from RNAcentral.